This 509-nucleotide ribosomal RNA is filed under the name uncultured Lachnospiraceae bacterium. RNAcentral's name for it is "bacterial SSU rRNA". It matches the Rfam family "Bacterial small subunit ribosomal RNA", at positions 12 to 507 of the family's 1533-position model. Lineage: Bacteria; Bacillati; Bacillota; Clostridia; Lachnospirales; Lachnospiraceae. The record is from RNAcentral.
UUUGAUCCUGGCUCAGGAUGAACGCUGGCGGCGUGCUUAACACAUGCAAGUCGAACGGGGCCACCAUUUUUGAAGCGAUUAGCUUGCUAAGAGUGGAAAUGUUGGCGGCUUAGUGGCGGACGGGUGAGUAACGCGUGGGUAACCUGCCAUAUACAGGGGGAUAACACUUAGAAAUAGGUGCUAAUACCGCAUAAGCGCACGGAGCUGCAUGGCUCAGUGUGAAAAACUCCGGUGGUAUAUGAUGGACCCGCGUCUGAUUAGCUUGUUGGCGGGGUAACGGCCCACCAAGGCGACGAUCAGUAGCCGGCCUGAAAGGGUGGACGGCCACAUUGGGACUGAGACACGGCCCAAACUCCUACGGGAGGCAGCAGUGGGGAAUAUUGGACAAUGGGGGGAACCCUGAUCCAGCGACGCCGCGUGAGUGAAGAAGUAUCUCGGUAUGUAAAGCUCUAUCAGCAGGGAAGAAAGAAAUGACGGUACCUGACCAAGAAGCCCCGGCUAACUACGUG